RNAcentral lists this ribosomal RNA (275 nucleotides) under uncultured bacterium. Its description in RNAcentral is "partial 16S ribosomal RNA". It matches the Rfam family "Bacterial small subunit ribosomal RNA", at positions 399 to 691 of the family's 1533-position model. The record is from RNAcentral.
GCGUGAAUGAAGAAGGCCUUAGGGUUGUAAAGUUCUUUCACCUGUGACGAUAAUGACGGUAACAGGAGAAGAAGCCCCGGCUAACUCCGUGCCAGCAGCCGCGGUAAGACGGAGGGGGCUAGCGUUGUUCGGAAUGACUGGGCGUAAAGGGCGCGUAGGCGGCCGAUCAAGUCAGGCGUGAAAGCCUCAGGCUUAACCUGAGAACUGCGCUUGAUACUGGUUGGCUAGAGAACGAGAGAGGAAAGCGGAAUUCCGAGUGUAGAGGUGAAAUUCGU